This 424-nucleotide ribosomal RNA is filed under the name uncultured bacterium. RNAcentral describes it as "bacterial SSU rRNA". It matches the Rfam family "Bacterial small subunit ribosomal RNA", at positions 358 to 773 of the family's 1533-position model. The record is from RNAcentral.
GGAAUUGUUCGCAAUGGGCGCAAGCCUGACGACGCAACGCCGCGUGGAGGAUGAAGACCUUCGGGUCGUAAACUCCUUUCGAUCGAGACGAACGGCCUUCGGGUGAACAAUCCGGAGGGGUGACGGUACAGAGAGACGACGCACCGGCUAACUCCGGGCCAGCAGCCGCGGUAAUACGGGGGGGGCAAGCGUUGUUCGGAAUUACUGGGCGUAAAGGGCUCGUAGGCGGCCAACUAAGUCGGACGUGAAAUCCCUCGGCUUAACCGGGGAACUGCGUCUGAUACUGGAUGGCUUGAGUUCGGGAGAGGGAUGCGGAAUUCCAGGUGUAGCGGUGAAAUGCGUAGAUAUCUGGAGGAACACCGGUGGCGGAGGCGGCAUCCUGGACCGACACUGACGCUGAGGAGCGAAAGCCAGGGGAGCAAAC